GUCUCAGUAGCUCAGCCUGGCUAGAGCGCCGGAUUCAUAACCCGGAGGUCGGGAGUUCAAAUCUCCCCUGAGACA
Molecule: transfer RNA, 75 nt
Rfam family: tRNA
About the family: Transfer RNA (tRNA) molecules are approximately 80 nucleotides in length. Their secondary structure includes four short double-helical elements and three loops (D, anti-codon, and T loops).